UGGGGAAUUUUGGACAAUGGGGGAAACCCUGACCCAGCAACGCCGCGUGAAGGAUGAAGUAUUUCGGUAUGUAAACUUCGAAAGAAUAGGAAGAAUAAAUGACGGUACUAUUUAUAAGGUCCGGCUAACUACGUGCCAGCAGCCGCGGUAAUACGUAGGGACCAAGCGUUGUUCGGAUUUACUGGGCGUAAAGGGCGCGUAGGCGGCAUGACAAGUCACUUGUGAAAUCUCUGGGCUUAACCCAGAACGGCCAAGUGAUACUGUCGCGCUAGAGUGCAGAAGGGGCAAUCGGAAUUCUUGGUGUAGCGGUGAAAUGCGUAGAUAUCAAGAGGAACACCUGAGGUGAAGACGGGUUGCUGGGCUGACACUGACGCUGAGGCGCGAAAGCCAGGGGAGCAAACGGGAUUAGAUACCCCCGUAGUCCCUGAGCGGGCUGGCAAGGCGCAU
RNAcentral lists this ribosomal RNA (447 nucleotides) under uncultured bacterium. RNAcentral's name for it is "bacterial SSU rRNA". It matches the Rfam family "Bacterial small subunit ribosomal RNA", at positions 355 to 825 of the family's 1533-position model. The record is from RNAcentral.